This 176-nucleotide non-coding RNA is filed under the name Gammaproteobacteria bacterium. RNAcentral describes it as "6S RNA". It matches the Rfam family "6S / SsrS RNA". Rfam says of the family: E. coli 6S RNA was the first non coding RNA to be sequenced, but its function was unknown until recently. It consists of 184 nucleotides that fold into an extended hairpin structure with a large single-stranded internal bulge. Lineage: Bacteria; Pseudomonadati; Pseudomonadota; Gammaproteobacteria. The record is from RNAcentral.
UAUCUUCUGUACUGCUCGAUACCAGACUGAUGUAACUUGAGCCUAAUUACAUCGCCACGGGAACUUACCGUGAUAUUGUGUGCAUGCCCCUUGCCGGGAAGCCUUAUAUAUCAUCUGCUGUUCCCACUUGAACCUGUGGUUCAAGUUCAAGGUCUGAACGACAGCAUGGUUGAUAC